Molecule: long non-coding RNA, 1155 nt
Organism: Ictalurus punctatus (channel catfish)
Lineage: Eukaryota; Metazoa; Chordata; Actinopteri; Siluriformes; Ictaluridae
Source: Ensembl
AAGAAGAAGAAGAAGAAGAAGAAGAAGAAGAAGAAGAAACAGAACUUCCAGUUAAUGUUUCCACAUUACAUUAUACAGUAUAACCUUGUAGCUUUAUGGCGGUCCCUCAUUAGCUGGGUUGUUGCUGUGUUUUUGCCAUUGUACAUUAAAAAAAUUCAACAAUGGAUUUGAACACAUCGGAUUAGAGAAGCUAAAACAGCAAAACAAUUCAUUCAAAUUGAUUCACUUUUAAAACCAACUGAAAGGAAAAUUAGGGACUCAUCUGAUCUUCUACACCCCCACCAGACACAGUGCACAGACACAGUGCACAGACACAGACACAGACACAGUGCACAGACACAGACACAGUGCACAGUGCACAGACACAGUACACAGACACAGUGCACAGACACAGUGCACAGUAGCACAGACACAGUACACAGACACAGUACACAGACACAGUGCACAGACACAGUACACAGACACAGUACACAGACACAGUGCACAGACACAGUACACAGACACAGUGCACAGACAGAUUGCAGAGUACACAGUGCACAGACACAGUGCACAGACACAGUGCACAGACAGAUUGCAGAGUACACAGUACACAGACACAGUGCACAGACACAGUGCACAGACACAAUACACAGACACAGUGCACAGACAGAUUGCAGAGUACACAGUGCACAGACACAGUGCACAGACACAAUGCACAGACACAGUGCACAGACACAGUACACAGACACAGACACAGUGCACAGACAGAUUGCACAGUACACAGUGCACAGUGCACAGACACAGUGCACAGACACAGACACAGUGCACAGACAGAUUGCACAGUACACAGUGCACAGACACAGUACACAGACACAGUACACAGACACAGUACACAGACACAGUGCACAGACACAGUGCACAGACACAAUGCACAGACACAGUGCACAGACACAGACACAGUGCACAGACACAGUACACAGUGCACAGACACAGACACAGUACACAGACACAGUGCACAGACAGAUUGCACAGUACACAAUGCACAGACACAGUGCACAGACACAAUAUACAGACAGAUUGCACAGUACACAGUGCACAGACACAAUAUACAGACACAGUGCACAGACACAAUACACAGACACAGUGCACAGACACAGACACAAUGCACAGACACAG